Strigops habroptila (Kakapo) is the source of this 964-nucleotide long non-coding RNA. RefSeq lists it as uncharacterized. Lineage: Eukaryota; Metazoa; Chordata; Aves; Psittaciformes; Psittacidae. The record is from RefSeq and is a predicted model, not a curated record. The transcript is spliced from 2 exons.
AGGUUCUCUGGGUCGUGUCCCCCCCCCCACUGCUGGUGUCCAUCCCCAAGGUCUUUCCUCACCUGGCUGUUGGAGAUGUGGAGUUGAAGGUGGGUAUUGACAUACAUGGUGGCCCCAACCCUCUGGAAGGAGGAUUUGGGGCACUGGGUGAAGAUGUAGUUGAGCCAGGGCUGGGUGGAAACCAACACUUGCUGGAGCAUCUUCCAGCUCUCUGGGUAAAAUAUGAUUGGAAGAGCAGGAAAUUAUUGAGGGAGAGACUCCAGGGUUUUCCUGGGGCUGUGCUCUGGGCUUUGUGACCACCCUCACCCUCCCCUUCACUCCUGCAGUACGAGAAGAAGCUGCUCCAGUACAGAUACGAGACACCGAGCCCCAAGCUCUGCGAGCAGAUAAGAUCUGUUAGGAUCUCAAAGGUGAUGCUGAAGUGGGCUUGCUGGAUCCUGAUGGACAGGGAGGUGGAUUCCUGAGCCCAGCCCAUCCUUCCUUUCUUCACUGGUUCAGACAGAACAAUUUAGGGCUGCCUGGGAAGAGCAGUUGGAGGAGGGAUGGGGGGACACCAGGACCCCUGUCCCCAAGGGGCCCACUGAGUGGUUUGGCCUGGCUGCAGACCCUGGCUGUAGAGAUGCUGGGGACAUGACCUGUUGAAGGCCAGCACCCUCAGUGCUGAGAGGGGGGGAAAAGCAUCUGUUCAGGGAUGCCUGUGGGUGAGCCAGUUCCCCUCUCCCACUUCUCCCUCUCCAUCCUUUCCAAACUCCCUGGCACGGCAGGUGGGGACAAGAGGUGACCUGGUGCCACCGUAACAUUGUGUCUGUCAGCCCCACAAUCUGAUCCCCGCUCCCAAGGCAGCAAUGGAGUUUGGAUGUUUUAUUGGAUGGUUUCUGCAGGGUCCUGCACUGUUCAUUACAAAAAAUGCCCCACAGGGUUAUGCUGUAGAAAUGAAAAAUAAAAAUUGUAUAUUUUUUAAAUA